AUGCUUAACACAUGCAAGUCGAACGAGAAAGCUCCUUCGGGAGUGAGUAGAGUGGCGCACGGGUGAGUAACACGUAGAUAACCUACCCUUCAGUCUGGGACAACCCUUCGAAAGGAGGGCUAAUACUGGAUAAUACUUGAUGUUGAGUGGCAUUGAGUUGAAAGAUUUAUUGCUGAAGGAUGGGUCUGCGCACCAUUAGCUAGUUGGUGGGGUAAUUGCCUACCAAGGCGACGAUGGUUAGCGGGUCUGAGAGGAUGAUCCGCCACACUGGAACUGAGACACGGUCCAGACUCCUACGGGAGGCAGCAGUGGGGAAUUUUGCGCAAUGGGCUAACGCCUGACGCAGCAAUACCGCGUGAGUGAAGAAGGCCUUUGGGUCGUAAAGCUCUUUUCUAUGGGAAGAUAGUGACGGUACCAUAGGAAUAAGCACCGGCUAACUCCGUGCCAGCAGCCGCGGUAAUACGGAGGGUGCGAGCGUUGUUCGGAUUUACUGGGCGUAAAGGGCACGUAGGCGGCAUAGCAAGUUAAGGGUGAAAUCCCGGGGCUUAACUCCGGAACUGCUCUUAAAACUGUUAAGCUAGAGAUAGUCAGAGGCGGGUGGAAUUCCUGGUGUAGAGGUGAAAUUCGUAGAUAUCAGGAGGAACACCGGUGGCGAAGGCGGCCCGCUGGGGCUAUUCUGACGCUGAGGUGCGAAAGCGUGGGGAGCGAACGGGAUUAGAUACCCCGGUAGUCCACGCCGUAAACGAUGAAUACCGGCUGUUUGAGGCAUCGACACCUCAAGUGGCGCAGCUAACGCGUUGAGUAUUCCGCCUGGGGAGUACGGUCGCAAGACUAAAACUCAAAGGAAUUGACGGGGGCCCGCACAAGCGGUGGAGCAUGUGGUU
This 884-nucleotide ribosomal RNA is filed under the name uncultured organism. RNAcentral's name for it is "bacterial SSU rRNA". It matches the Rfam family "Bacterial small subunit ribosomal RNA", at positions 44 to 946 of the family's 1533-position model. The record is from RNAcentral.